UACGAAGGGGGCUAGCGUUGCUCGGAAUCACUGGGCGUAAAGGGUGCGUAGGCGGGUCUUUAAGUCAGGGGUGAAAUCCUGGAGCUCAACUCCAGAACUGCCUUUGAUACUGAAGAUCUUGAGUUCGGGAGAGGUGAGUGGGACUGCGAGUGUAGAGGUGAAAUUCGUAGAUAUUCGCAAGAACACCAGUGGCGAAGGCGGCUCACUGGCCCGAUACUGACGCUGAGGCGCGAAAGCUAGGGGAGCAAACGGG
RNAcentral lists this ribosomal RNA (253 nucleotides) under uncultured bacterium. RNAcentral's name for it is "partial 16S ribosomal RNA". It matches the Rfam family "Bacterial small subunit ribosomal RNA", at positions 524 to 776 of the family's 1533-position model. The record is from RNAcentral.